UACGGAGGGGGCUAGCGUUGUUCGGAAUUACUGGGCGUAAAGCGUACGUAGGCGGCUUUGUAAGUUAGAGGUGAAAGCCCGGGUCUUAACCCCGGAAUUGCCCUUAAGACUGCAUCGCUAGAAUCAUGGAGAGGUGAGUGGAAUUCCGAGUGUAGAGGUGAAAUUCGUAGAUAUUCGGAAGAACACCAGUGGCGAAGGCGACUCACUGGACAUGUAUUGACGCUGAGGUACGAAAGCGUGGGGGGCAAACAGG
Molecule: ribosomal RNA, 253 nt
Filed under: uncultured bacterium
Lineage: Bacteria
Description: partial 16S ribosomal RNA
Rfam family: Bacterial small subunit ribosomal RNA
Source: RNAcentral